AGAGUUUGAUCAUGGCUCAGAUUGAACGCUGGCGGCAGGCCUAACACAUGCAAGUCGAGCGGUAGCACAGAGAGCUUGCUCUCGGGUGACGAGCGGCGGACGGGUGAGUAAUGUCUGGGAAACUGCCUGAUGGAGGGGGAUAACUACUGGAAACGGUAGCUAAUACCGCAUAAUGUCGCAAGACCAAAGUGGGGGACCUUCGGGCCUCAUGCCAUCAGAUGUGCCCAGAUGGGAUUAGCUAGUAGGUGGGGUAACGGCUCACCUAGGCGACGAUCCCUAGCUGGUCUGAGAGGAUGACCAGCCACACUGGAACUGAGACACGGUCCAGACUCCUACGGGAGGCAGCAGUGGGGAAUAUUGCACAAUGGGCGCAAGCCUGAUGCAGCCAUGCCGCGUGUGUGAAGAAGGCCUUCGGGUUGUAAAGCACUUUCAGCGGGGAGGAAGGCGGUGAGGUUAAUAACCUCACCGAUUGACGUUACCCGCAGAAGAAGCACCGGCUAACUCCGUGCCAGCAGCCGCGGUAAUACGGAGGGUGCAAGCGUUAAUCGGAAUUACUGGGCGUAAAGCGCACGCAGGCGGUCUGUCAAGUCGGAUGUGAAAUCCCCGGGCUCAACCUGGGAACUGCAUUCGAAACUGGCAGGCUAGAGUCUUGUAGAGGGGGGUAGAAUUCCAGGUGUAGCGGUGAAAUGCGUAGAGAUCUGGAGGAAUACCGGUGGCGAAGGCGGCCCCCUGGACAAAGACUGACGCUCAGGUGCGAAAGCGUGGGGAGCAAACAGGAUUAGAUACCCUGGUAGUCCACGCCGUAAACGAUGUCGAUUUGGAGGUUGUGCCCUUGAGGCGUGGCUUCCGGAGCUAACGCGUUAAAUCGACCGCCUGGGGAGUACGGCCGCAAGGUUAAAACUCAAAUGAAUUGACGGGGGCCCGCACAAGCGGUGGAGCAUGUGGUUUAAUUCGAUGCAACGCGAAGAACCUUACCUGGUCUUGACAUCCACAGAACUUUCCAGAGAUGGAUUGGUGCCUUCGGGAACUGUGAGACAGGUGCUGCAUGGCUGUCGUCAGCUCGUGUUGUGAAAUGUUGGGUUAAGUCCCGCAACGAGCGCAACCCUUAUCCUUUGUUGCCAGCGGUUAGGCCGGGAACUCAAAGGAGACUGCCAGUGAUAAACUGGAGGAAGGUGGGGAUGACGUCAAGUCAUCAUGGCCCUUACGACCAGGGCUACACACGUGCUACAAUGGCAUAUACAAAGAGAAGCGACCUCGCGAGAGCAAGCGGACCUCAUAAAGUAUGUCGUAGUCCGGAUUGGAGUCUGCAACUCGACUCCAUGAAGUCGGAAUCGCUAGUAAUCGUAGAUCAGAAUGCUACGGUGAAUACGUUCCCGGGCCUUGUACACACCGCCCGUCACACCAUGGGAGUGGGUUGCAAAAGAAGUAGGUAGCUUAACCUUCGGGAGGGCGCUUACCACUUUGUGAUUCAUGACUGGGGUGAAGUCGUAACAAGGUAACCGUAGGGGAACCUGCGGUUGGAUCACCU
This 1528-nucleotide ribosomal RNA is filed under the name Klebsiella pneumoniae. RNAcentral's name for it is "bacterial SSU rRNA". It matches the Rfam family "Bacterial small subunit ribosomal RNA". RNAcentral also lists the same sequence under 2 other names. Lineage: Bacteria; Pseudomonadati; Pseudomonadota; Gammaproteobacteria; Enterobacterales; Enterobacteriaceae. The record is from RNAcentral.